Molecule: ribosomal RNA, 252 nt
Filed under: uncultured bacterium
Lineage: Bacteria
Description: partial 16S ribosomal RNA
Rfam family: Bacterial small subunit ribosomal RNA
Source: RNAcentral
UACGUAGGUCCCGAGCGUUGUCCGGAUUUAUUGGGCGUAAAGCGAGCGCAGGUGGUUUAUUAAGUCUGGUGUAAAAGGCAGUGGCUCAACCAUUGUAUGCAUUGGAAACUGGUAGACUUGAGUGCAGGAGAGGAGAGUAGAAUUCCAUGUGUAGCGGUGAAAUGCGUAGAUAUAUAGAGGAACACCGGUGGCGAAAGCGGCUCUCUGGCCUGUAACUGACACUGAGGCUCGAAAGCGUGGGGAGCAAACAGG